CACGUAGUUAGCCGGGGCUUCUUGGUCAGGUACCGUCUGUUUCUUCCCUGCCGAUAGGGCUUUACGCACCGAGGUGCUCCUUCACCCACGCGGCGUCGCUGCAUCAGGGUUCCCCCCAUUGUGCAAUAUUCCCCACUGCUGCCUCCCGCAGGAGUCUGGGCCGUGUCUCAGUCCCAGUGUGGCCGUCCGCCCUCUCAGGCCGGCUACCGAUCGUCGCCUUGGUGGGCCGCUGCCCCGCAACAAGCUAAUCGGACGCGGGCCCAUCGCGCACCGUCCGGGUCGCCCCGGGCUUUCCCCCGCAGGGGCCAUGCGGCCCCGCGGGAAUAUGCGGUAUUAGCGGCCGUUUCCGGCCGUUGUCCCCCUGUGCGCGGCAGGUUGCCCACGCGUUACUCACCCGUCCGCCACUGGCCGCGCCUUCACUAGGUUUCAGGCGCGGCCCGUUCGACUUGCAUGUGUUAGGCUACGCCGCCAGCGUUCAUCCUGAGCCAGGGAUUCAAACUCU
Molecule: ribosomal RNA, 502 nt
Filed under: uncultured Bacillota bacterium
Lineage: Bacteria; Bacillati; Bacillota
Description: uncultured Firmicutes bacterium partial 16S ribosomal RNA
Source: RNAcentral